Molecule: ribosomal RNA, 463 nt
Filed under: Streptococcus sanguinis
Lineage: Bacteria; Bacillati; Bacillota; Bacilli; Lactobacillales; Streptococcaceae
Description: bacterial SSU rRNA
Rfam family: Bacterial small subunit ribosomal RNA
Source: RNAcentral
GACGAACGCUGGCGGCGUGCCUAAUACAUGCAAGUAGAACGCUGAAGAGAGGAGCUUGCUCUUCUUGGAUGAGUUGCGAACGGGUGAGUAACGCGUAGGUAACCUGCCUGGUAGCGGGGGAUAACUAUUGGAAACGAUAGCUAAUACCGCAUGAUAUUAAUUGUCGCAUGAUAAUUAAUUGAAAGAUGCAAUUGCAUCACUACCAGAUGGACCUGCGUUGUAUUAGCUAGUUGGUGAGGUAACGGCUCACCAAGGCGACGAUACAUAGCCGACCUGAGAGGGUGAUCGGCCACACUGGGACUGAGACACGGCCCAGACUCCUACGGGAGGCAGCAGUAGGGAAUCUUCGGCAAUGGGGGGAACCCUGACCGAGCAACGCCGCGUGAGUGAAGAAGGUUUUCGGAUCGUAAAGCUCUGUUGUAAGAGAAGAACGGGUGUGAGAGUGGAAAGUUCACACUGUGAC